AAUUUGGUUUUCGAAUCCCCAUGGAUAUACAUUGUCUGAAUUUUGAUUAAUCCAAAGUAACAGAAGCAAAGCUCAUCUUUUUCCUUUGAUUCUUUCAGCUUCCUUCAAGAGAAGAGGUAUUGCUCGUGAUUUUGUUCAUGAAUAUAAGUGGGGAAGAAUUACGGCUAGGAUUUAUUGGAACGACAUGGGACGAAGAAACAUGUUAUGCCCAAGUGAUAUGAUUUCAUUUAGAAAUGGAUAAGCAAGGCCAUGGAUAUCUCCAUCAUGAGCCCUGCACCUUUUUGGGUGGCAUCGCAAACUACCCACCACCUGAUAUCCCGAUGACAGUCAUGGCUCCUGGGAACACAAGUAGUCUUGAUACUCUUCCCUUACCAGAGCAUUAUGAAAACGGUAUGUUCUAUGAGAUUCCUCAGUACCCUGUCCCUGGUGUUCAACAUCGUCAUCGUUCUCCAAACCUUGAUCUUGGUAUCGGAAGUGCAUCCAACUUUUACAUUCCGUGUGUGGCUACCUCAUCAUCUGUUGUUCCGUUAAAUCACGGACCGAUAGACCAGAUGCCAUCUUCCAGCAACUACGGUCUCCUUGGAGUUUCUGCUGAUGAAUAUGCAAGGAAUUGCCACUUCAUGGAUAUAAUGUUAGAGCCUCGUAUAAGAGAAAGAAUUCUGAAGGGAUUCCAGGAAAUUUUCAGCACUUUAAUUCCUCGUCAAGCUCGAGUUCCUCAGUUACACCAUUCGAUACCAGGCUCCUUGAUGGGAUUGGCCCAGUUGAUGCAUCAUCUUCCACUGUUCCUCCGUGUAGGGGAAACGACCUACCACCUAUUAUAGAUGCAGGACCCCAAAGAAGUGUGAGGAACAGACUAUGGGCAACUGCCAUGGAUCCUCUUUUGAUGCAUGGUGCGAACCAUUUUUUCAAGGAAAUUAUGUGGGUCACUCCUUUCAGCCAACAAUAACAGAUGGAGGUGCCUCGGUUUGGACUCAAGCUCCUAGUGUUCCUUAUAUGCAUGGUAGUUCUAAUGCUGGACUUAUUGAGACUAGGCAUAGGACAAACUUCUCACAUCCUUCCCUUGACCUUCGGAAUCAUAACUACUAUCGCCCUGUUCCACCUACUGAAGGAGUAAGAAACCACGGCAUUAAUGGUCAUCCACAAGUAGCAGCAGCUCCUCCUCAUAGCUUUCCUGCAACUUAUGCCUCACAGAGCACCUGAAAUCCAUCACAGGAUGAUUUGGAGAUGGGGUGUGGGAAUCGGGGACCCGUCCCACCUACCGGCUUUAGGAUAUAUCAUUCUCGAUGAGAGGGUAGUGGUGUACCUGAGACAACUUUGAGAUACCGAAAUCUUCCUCAUCUGAGAGUUCUUCCAUCAGAUGGAGUUGCUAUGCUGGAGUUCCCAGAAUUUUAUGAAGAAGUCGGUAAUGUCAUCAAUCAUUAUAGGGAUAUGCGGUUGGAUAUAGAGGACAUGUCUUAUGAGGAGCUACUUGCUCUGGGAGAACGGAUUGGCAAUGCGGACACUGGAUUAUCAGAGGAAACCAUGACGAGAAAAAUGAAAACAAGGACAUAUUCAACAUUUGUAACUAAUAUUAACCUGGAAGAAGCGGCGCCCAUCGAUCAAGGACCCGAUUCUUGCAUCAUUUGCCAGGAGGAUUACAAAAACCAAGAGAAAAUCACAACUCUCGAUUGCGGACACGAGUCUCAUGCAGGUUGCUUAAGUCAGUGUUCGUGAAGAACGUAUGCCCCAUCUGCAAAUCCGAGGCACUAACCACCAAGUCCAAGGAUGUCUAAAACAUGAAGAAUGACUUAAACCCAGCAAAAUGAAUAAAUUACAUACAAUGGUUGAUGGCGGCAGAAUCGAUGGGAGAAAGCUCUCCGGGAAGCCUUAUGGCUUAACUGUUUGCCAUGA
This is a long non-coding RNA of Hibiscus syriacus, 1890 nucleotides long. RefSeq lists it as uncharacterized. The transcript has 6 exons. The record is from RefSeq and is a predicted model, not a curated record. NCBI's taxonomy places the organism in Eukaryota, Viridiplantae, Streptophyta, Magnoliopsida, Malvales, Malvaceae.